RNAcentral lists this transfer RNA (70 nucleotides) under Ophioleila elegans. RNAcentral's name for it is "tRNA-Ala". The record is from RNAcentral. Lineage: Eukaryota; Metazoa; Echinodermata; Ophiuroidea; Amphilepidida; Hemieuryalidae.
AUAAGAAUAGUUAAAAAUAUACAUAACAUUAAAUUUGCACUUUAAUAUUGAGGGGGCUCCUCUUCUUAUU